AAAAAAAAAGGAAGUAAUUAUGAAAAUGGAACAACUUUUAGGACUGCAAAUAUAACUAUCCCAAUUUGAAAAGCUAAGGUGCCACUCAAAUUAAGGGCUCUUGUUCUGUCUACAACUCCCCAAUAUGUGAAUACUAAUGACUACUUGCAAAAAGGGAGGUCUAGCAACGAAUAUUUAGCUCCUUAUUGAUGCAUCAGGUAUUGCAAUUGGUCUCACUUGUUUUUACAUUGUAAGUUAGCUUGGACAAUUGGGAACUACAUUUUGGUCUUUUUGAAAAGAAUAAAGUACAUCCAGAAUCUUUUUGAUUUUUAUUGGUUUAGAACAGAGAGCAAUUGGUGGUAAAAAAUGUGCUAAAGUUCCAUAGAAUUAUUAUUCUUUUCAG
RNAcentral lists this unclassified non-coding RNA (382 nucleotides) under Hevea brasiliensis (rubber tree). Lineage: Eukaryota; Viridiplantae; Streptophyta; Magnoliopsida; Malpighiales; Euphorbiaceae. The record is from RNAcentral.